AGGAGCCCUGUGGAGGUGACACUGGGCGCCUUAGAGGAGAGAGCUGCGUGAUGUAUCACCACUCACCAGCCCUUGCCGGAGACCUGUUUAGAGUGAGAUUACAGUCUCAGCAGAGCCUCUCAUUUCUCCUGGUCACGGGGUUACAGAGCACUUUACAACUUGUGCUACAGGAAGGCAGGGAGGGAUUUAAAUGAGAGACUGGAAGAGACCCUCCAUAAACCUCAGCCAGAGCAGCCCUGACUCACAGGAUGAGGAUAUAGCAAGAAGAUGGUCAUCUGCAAACCAGGAGGAGGAUCCUCACCAGAACCCAACCCUGCUGGUACCUUGAUCUUGAACUUCUCAGCCUCCAUAACAGGCUAUCAACAGGGUAAUGGAGUAUGGAGUCACGCCGAUGGAGAUUUGUCUUAGAUAGUAUGAUUAGGGAAGACCCUUCUGAAUUGAGACCUAAAGGACAAGAAUGAGCUGCCCACAAACAAAACAAGAAGAGGAUACCAGACAAAGGGAUAGAGUGAAGAAAGAACAUUCUCAUUCUUCCUUCUAUGCUGAUGGUACAAGAAAGUCCUGGAAUCCUAAGGAUCUAGGAAAAAUCAACUUGAGAAGUUUCUAUGUGGUAAGAAAAGCUAUGAUGUGUCUUGCCCUUUUCUCAUCUACCAUAUUGAAAUUGAAUGUACAGUUCUGUAUACGGUUCAGAGUUCUUAAAGAUGUAGAAAUGAUGAGAACAUAACAAAAGGUAUUCUUUAGUAUUCUCAACUUUCCCUGUGCUCUACUUCUUCCAAACGCAAGGCUAAAGACGCUUUAAAAAAUGAGAUUGUGACAAAAUGCUAACUACGACAUAUUCAGACAUUCCAAAACCUGAAAGUGGAUCUGAAGCCAGCAGAUUCACUACUCACUGUUCUUAGGUUUUGGCAUUUUUCUGUCUACCUUCUCUCAACUAAACCUUCAUGACGGUUUUUCCUGUAAGGACAAUUACAAUAAGAUACACUCCCUUCCCCAUCUUAACUCAGAUUAUUAUGAUGCUAUUUCUGCAUUUUUGUAUCAUGUGAUGGUGGUUUCUUUGUGGUAUAUGACAAAAAUGCCCUUCUUCUUGACUCCACAGGAAGAAAACUGGCUAUUAGCUUGGGACUUCAGCAAGGCACUUAGCAAGGUCUCUCAUAAUAUCCUGUGGUCAAGAAGAAAAAUAUAGGCUGGAUGACUGUACAAUUAACAUGAUUCAUAGCUGGCUGGAACAACUUAUGCCAAAAAGUGCCAAUUAAUGGACGGAUAUCAAACUGAAGGAGCUCUCCAGAUGUUCUACAGCAAUUUGCCUCUUGCCCAGUGGUGCCUGGUACCUAUUAUCAAUAACUUGGAUAAAUAUAUAGAAUAGUUAUCAAAUAUAUGGGUAAGAUCCAAGUGCAUUACAGCACAGAAUCAGGACCCAAAAUAAUAAAACAGGCUGAACUAAUGGGCCAAAUCCAAUGAGAUAAAGUUUAAGUAGGAUAAUAUAAAGUUCUGUACUUUGGUCCAAAAAAUCCCCACUACUCAAGUAUAGGGUACACAAAAUUUUGUUAUAUAGAUGGCAGCAUAUAGAUGUAGCUGUUAAAAUAAGUCCAUUAAAUGUUAGGCAGCAUUAUAAGCAGUAGCUAUCUAUUGAGUAGUAGAAAGAACAUUGGAUUUGGCAUUAGAAAACUGGG
Molecule: long non-coding RNA, 1670 nt
Filed under: Homo sapiens (human)
Lineage: Eukaryota; Metazoa; Chordata; Mammalia; Primates; Hominidae
Description: non-protein coding lnc-MID1IP1-1:2
Source: RNAcentral